Molecule: non-coding RNA, 30 nt
Organism: Clostridium autoethanogenum DSM 10061
Lineage: Bacteria; Bacillati; Bacillota; Clostridia; Eubacteriales; Clostridiaceae
Source: Rfam
AUUUAAAUACAUCUCAUGUUGAGGUUCAAC